RNAcentral lists this unclassified non-coding RNA (391 nucleotides) under soil metagenome. RNAcentral describes it as "partial contains 5.8S ribosomal RNA, internal transcribed spacer 2, and large subunit ribosomal RNA". The stretch from base 1 to 122 matches the Rfam family "5.8S ribosomal RNA", at positions 35 to 154 of the family's 154-position model. The record is from RNAcentral.
GAUGAAGAACGUAGCGAAAUGCGAUACUUGGUGUGAAUUGCAGAAUCCCGUGAACCAUCGAGUCUUUGAACGCAAGUUGCGCCCGAAGCCAUUAGGCCGAGGGCACGCCUGCCUGGGCGUCACACGUCGUUGCCCCCCCAUCUACUCCUUCGGGAUUGCGAGGGGCGGAUGAUGGCCUCCCGUGCGCCUCGUCGCGCGGUUGGCAUAAAUGCCAAGUCCUCGGCGACGCACGCCACGACAAUCGGUGGUUGCGAAACCUCGGUUGCCCGUCGUGUGCGGUCGUCGCGCAUCGAGGGCUCGAAAAAAUUGCCGGGCUCCGGCUCGGCUUUCAACGCGACCCCAGGUCAGGCGGGGUUACCCGCUGAAUUUAAGCAUAUCAAUAAGCGGAGGA